RNAcentral lists this microRNA precursor (85 nucleotides) under Schistosoma mattheei. Its description in RNAcentral is "mir-3492 microRNA precursor family". It matches the Rfam family "mir-3492 microRNA precursor family". The record is from Rfam by way of RNAcentral. Lineage: Eukaryota; Metazoa; Platyhelminthes; Trematoda; Strigeidida; Schistosomatidae.
AGCCUUCUGUAUCCGCGCUGAGAUUUGAGAUUUCGUCACAUACAAGACCACAAGGGCUGAUGAGACUUCCAAGAUAAGUGAAGCG